Long non-coding RNA from Lycium barbarum (goji berry), 2033 nucleotides. RefSeq lists it as uncharacterized. The record is from RefSeq and is a predicted model, not a curated record. NCBI's taxonomy places the organism in Eukaryota, Viridiplantae, Streptophyta, Magnoliopsida, Solanales, Solanaceae. The transcript is spliced from 2 exons.
CAUGUUACCUUCUCUAUAAAAAUAUGGACAAAAGAACAAUUGAGCUUCUUCAUUUUGUUGUUAAUCGUGGUGAUAACAACUUGAGAUUCAAAUUCAACAACCACAAAAUAGUAGUCAUAUACAUAAUUCUAAACCUUGAACUAAGGCCUUAGCCUCUGUCAUAUGAUUACUGCAUAUAGAAAUCAACAUAGGCCAUAAGGACAUUUCAAAUGUGAUCUCAAUAAUACCUCCACCUCGGGAGCUUCCUAGAUUUCCUUUGCAACACACAUCUAAGUUGAAUUUAACACAACCAAUAUCAGUCAAAUGAUGAUAAAUCGUUAGCACCGCAUUAAAAUAUUAGCAUUUCUGGUUGUUUCACAUUCACGAUUUUGGUAGCUUUAUGCUACAUUGGUUGUGUUGUUGCAAAAGAUGAAGACACGCUUGAUGGUUUAAAGCCAAAUGGAAAACUCUCUGUUAUGGCGGGGUGAGGGGUGGGGAUAGUUAUAAUUUUAUUUAUUAUAAUUGUAAUAUUUUUGGAGGCGCGCCAUAGGAUUAGACGGUAUGCCUCUGCGGAACCUAUUUGGCGCGUAGUGAAGUUAUUCCCUCGUGUACAGUAUUCGGUACAAGAGGAAAUUAACUUCACGGUCGGUACAUGCUACAUCUGUUUGAGUGAAUUCAAACAGACUGAGUACGUACGAGUCCUAUCCUGCAACCAUGUGUAUCAUCAUGACUGCCUACUCAAAUGGAUGACUAGGAACAUGAUGUGCCCAGAAUGCCGUCGUGAUUAUAGUCAUCAUUUAGAGGCUUAAAAUAUACUCCCUUUGUCCCAAUAUAUGACAUACUUUUCUUUUUAGUCAGUCCAAAAAAGAAUGACAGAUUUCCUUCUUUGGCAAUAAUUUAACUUUAAACACUACUUUUUACGCUUAACGAGAUGAUCUAUAGCCACAUAAAUAUCUUUGGCUUGUUUUAGACCACAAGAUUCAAAAGUUUUUCUUUAUUUCUUAAACUCCAUGCCCAGUCAAACUAUAUCAUAUAAAUUGGGACGGAGGGAGUAUAAGUUAACAUACAUAUAGAGGGGACACGGUAUGCACGUGUGACGCAGACAAAAGCUAGUUUUUAUUAAAUAUAAUUGAUAGCAUAUUGGGAUUUGGCUUUAGGUCACCAAUUACAUUGAGUCGAAACAGUAUGCACAUGGACACACGAGAUGCACGCACGACGCAGACAAAAGUUAGUUUUUGUUACAUUUAGUUCCCACGAUCUAGGUUUUUUUUUUAGGCCCGGGAUCGAUCUGGUUUAGUAUCAAGGUGAUUCUUUUUCUUUUCCUAUAUAUAUGGGUCCGUGUAGAUCCGAUGAGCUCAACUUCCACUGAAAAAGAGAGGCUCGACCUCAACCUCAAAUUCGAAGCCUGAUGGGAGGUGCUGGUAAGGCCGGGACCGUGGUCGUCCGUCUCCGGUUUGCCGGCCGAACACUAACAUAUAGUUAUAGUUGAAAUGACUUUGACUUUGAUGAUAAAUAAUGGAGUACCAAAGCAUCUAUGGGUUGAAGCAUUCACUACUGCAACGUAUUUGCUCUCUCCUAGCAGCCUUGCCUUAACCGACUGUGCGGGUUGGUUGUCAUACCUAUCCCUUCAUGUCUUUCCUCUUUGAUUCAUUCCUUGGCAGCUACCUUAACCCGAGGAUCAAACUUACCAUUUUUAGCCCUUAAGUGUUGGUGGGGGUUGCUUGAAAAUAGAACUGCCCCAAAACAGAGUUUCUAUUCAAAUCCCUAUUUCCCGGUGGUAGGAAGAACUGAAAUAGGUUUCCUGAAGAAAAGAAGGGGCGGAUGAGGGCACCGCACCCCCUCACGAGGUACUCAUAGAAGAGGGCGGGGCAUUUUCGGGGACUAGCCCGCUUCCCAUUACUGGCAAAGAAAGAAAGGCAGGUUCAGGCGAUUGAUCAAAAAAAGAUUUCCUUCCCUUUUUACAUUGUAUAAUAGUAUAAUUAAGUGCAUAAAAACCUGACACACCUAUUAUAUAAUGUGUAUAUAUCAUUUAUGCACUUUGUAAUAGUGCUAAA